Molecule: ribosomal RNA, 390 nt
Filed under: uncultured bacterium
Lineage: Bacteria
Description: bacterial SSU rRNA
Rfam family: Bacterial small subunit ribosomal RNA
Source: RNAcentral
AUUGAACGCUGGCGGCAUGCUUUACACAUGCAAGUCGAACGGCAGCGCGGGGGCAACCCUGGCGGCGAGUGGCGAACGGGUGAGUAAUGCAUCGGAACGUAUCCUGGAGUGGGGGAUAACGUAGCGAAAGUUACGCUAAUACCGCAUAUUCUGUGAGCAGGAAAGCAGGGGAUCGCAAGACCUUGCGCUCUGGGAGCGGCCGAUGUCGGAUUAGCUAGUUGGUGGGGUAAAGGCCUACCAAGGCGACGAUCCGUAGCGGGUCUGAGAGGAUGAUCCGCCACACUGGGACUGAGACACGGCCUAGACUCCUACGGGAGGCAGCAGUGGGGAAUUUUGGACAAUGGGCGGAAGCCUGAUCCAGCCAUGCCGCGUGAGUGAAGAAGGCCUCGG